RNAcentral lists this long non-coding RNA (1730 nucleotides) under Mus musculus (house mouse). RNAcentral's name for it is "RIKEN cDNA 5530601H04 gene". The record is from RNAcentral. Lineage: Eukaryota; Metazoa; Chordata; Mammalia; Rodentia; Muridae.
AGGACGGUGGAAUUCUGGGAUGAAGAAGAAGAAUUUGCUACCUGUUUUGGAAGAACUAGCAGAGUGAGGUAACAACGAGGGCACAGUGUCCUGUUUUACAGAUACUUGCUCAGCCACAUUCAUCACUGCUCUGUUCAUAACAGUUGGAAAUUGGAAACAACCUAAAUGCUUUCUCUCUCUGAUUUGUGGAUUCUAGAUCUGAAUCUUAAGAGUGAUCAGAAUAUAGGAUGGAUUGUCCAUGUGGAUGUUGGAUGUUAGCAAAUGCUCAAUACACAAGAAUAACAUAAAGGGGCAGACUGAAGCUGAUAACCCAAUUGCUACAUUACAAGUAAACAUGAGUAAACUCAAGAGACUCAACAAGCCUUUUAUUUCAGGAAGCAACCAAGAGUCUGGAAACCAUGGCAGCAGCAGGAAGUUCCGGCUGUUUUAAAGUCGCGGUUCCGGUGUUCAGGAUGCCAGGGAUGAUGGGAAGCCUGUUCUUGUUUAUCGGUUUGUACGGAACUUCACCCGCGGUAGAGUACGGCCUGAGAAUUUUGUUCCAGCACCGGUGUGAGGAAAACAUCUGAGCCCAUGAAUUGCCAGACCCUGGAUACCUGAGACACAUCCACUUGCUUCUCAGAUUGGACAUCUGUGGGCUUCCCUUUGCUAUGACGUAAGUGUGGUACAAGCGGAGCUCCAGUGCUAUCCGUGAAUACUAGUAGAGUUCUAAUUCUGGUUAAGAGUUUGGGAUGGGGCCUUGCUGCACUGUAACUGUGAAGGUGUUUUAUAAAGAAUCUUGUGAUGAUUCAGCAUUGUGAAAUAGUGACAACAGCAUGGUAAAUUGAAUCAAAUAAACCCAGACAUAUUGUUUGUGGGCAAAAUUAGAACCCUUCCAGUUAUCCCAGGUACAGUUCAUGCUUGUCUUGUUGGUCCCUUCCUAUUCUGUAUCACCUUCCUCUUCUCUCACUUCCCUCUUCUCUCCAUCUCUUCCCUCCCAGUCUGGGUCCCGUCGUCCCCCCACCCCCGCCCUCUCUCCCUCACUUUUAUAGGGUUUCCUGUAGUUUAGGUUGACUUCAACCUUGAAUUUUCUAUCCUUCUCCCAUGUCCUGAGACUAUAGGUGUAUGCUAGCAUCACCUUUGGCCUGUUUCUCUCUCUAGGUUUGGAGUGCAUAAUGAGGAGAAAUAAAAACAGAAAGAUCUCCAGAAAGAAGCCAUGGUAAGAUUCAAGGUUUCACAGUCCAAGCUAAUGCCUGUGGACACUUGACCAAGUGAUCUGAGAAAAUUGGAUUUCUGGCAAAACAAGUGUACCUAGACUCAGGCAAGGGUGGAGAACAGAGGGCGACUAGAUUAAAUGGAAAGAAUGCCCAGGCAUCCCAUUGCCUCCCUUUGACGUUCCAGAACUUCAUCAAGACAGUGAUGAGCUACAUGUACACCUGGAGGAGAGUUCAGGAUCAAGCUCAGAAGCGCACAGCUGCCAGCAAGCAGUCUACUACUGAACUGCACCAUCUCUCCAGCCUGUGCUUACUCUUGAAUAGCCCCAAAGUAGUCAAUGGUAUGGCAAAAUAAACCUCCAUUUCAUUUAGAUUUUUAUAGUAUUUUUUGCCACUUAAAUUAUUUUAUGUAGUUGAGUAUGAUUUUUUUUCCCCCUAAGGAAUUCUAUGUAUCUCAAUUUCAAGAGUCUUCAGCCUUUAUGUUAUACAUAAUUUCCUAUAGAUUUCAAAGUUGCUUUAAUAAAAAGUUUAAUGUUAAAA